Molecule: long non-coding RNA, 8561 nt
Organism: Pseudophryne corroboree (corroboree frog)
Lineage: Eukaryota; Metazoa; Chordata; Amphibia; Anura; Myobatrachidae
Exons: 5
Source: RefSeq, a predicted model, not a curated record
CAAUGGACCAUCUCCCAUGUUAAGUAUAGGGAAAGAUCGAUGUCCCGCAAACCUGAAGCAUUCAUUUGUUACACAGGAAAUAUGUAUAGCGACACUCACCCCACUCAGUGUUUCUGAGGAUUCUCCUGACAACAGCAAGAAGUGUUGGGAGCACAUGGAGGAUUGAGCAGCACAUCAAAAAAAGAUAUGGCCAGAGAAGGGCAAAUGGAAGAAGACAAAAAGAGAUUCAAGGACAGAGAAAGAAGGCUAAACAGAAGAAGAAGAGUCAGUGCAAACCAAAAAAGUGGCAAGAUGGCACCCAGAGAAGCCCGCUUCUCAGAUCAAGAGAACUGUGUACUCAUUGAGACAGAACUCCAGUACUUUGGUGUGAGACCCCCUAGAGCCCUCAAGAGGGUCUUCUGCCAAUAGCAAUCCCCAGUAGUUCCCUUAGUGCUUGAUAUGCACACCAGUAAUUAGGGGUCCCCUGGACUUAAAACCUAAAGCUAGAGGGGCUCACCCAAUAGACUGGUGACCACUGGAUCAUGGACUGGCGAGUAACUGAGGGUGAGGACUCUCAGGAGUACGGAGGAAGGGGUCUGAAUAGGGUUGGAAUCUCAGCCAGAGCGGAUGAGGCACUGUGUAGGUGGUAUACAGGCACUUAGUGGAUGGUGUGGAUAAGACUCUAGCAGAUGGUAAGCAGGCCAGGAAUACAAUUUAGGGCUGGGAAGUUACAGCUCCUGCCAUACAGGAUUCUGACAGGUGGCAACAGGUUAGGAAUGCUAGAUACAGCUGAGGGUUGCGGCUUCAGCUGUACAAGGUUCUGGCAGAUGACAACAGGCCAGAAAUGCAGAAUAUAGCUGAAAGUUGUGACUCCAGCUGUAAAGGACUCUGGCAGAUGACAGUAGGCCAGGUAUACAGGUUAUAGCUGAAGAUUGCUGCUCCAGCCAUGUAGAAUUGUGUACAAGUAUUAGCUGAAGGUUGUGGCUCCAGCCAUGUAGGACUCUGUGCAAAUGACAGCAAGCCAUGGAAUACAGGAUCAGCUGAAGUUUGUGGCUCCAGCCAAACAGGAUUCUGGCAGAUGACAGCAAGCCAGGUAUAGAGGGGAAACUUAAAGUUGCGGCAACAGCCAUACUUGACUCUGGCAGAUAACAUCAUUCCAGGUAUACAGGAUAAGCUGAAGGUUGUGGCUCCAGCCGUGUAGGACUCUGGCAGAUGACAGCAAGCCAAGUAUACAGGACAACUUCCAGAACCAACAGGAGUAGAACCAGGAUCUAGCUCCCAGGAACAGAGAACCAGGGGCUCUUGCUGGCAUGAACUAUAAUGGGGAGGGCAUGGUAGGACUGACUACAAGAUAAAGGGACAGCAACCAAUCACCAGCAGCCAAGCCCCCUUUGAGUAACUAACACCGUGCAGCUGGAGCGCAGCAUGUCUCCCACAGCAUCCAGUCAGCCCAGGAUUCGCAGCAGCUGACCAUCAUAAUGGUCAUCUAGCGACCACAGGGAAGCCACUUGGCAGAAGUGCCUUUACAUCAUGGCAACGAUCGGGACCUGUGGGGAUUGUGAGCCACCACUGCUCAAAACACUCAUUGACUAUGUAGAUAAAGACAAUGACUGGCUAAUUGGAUUACAUGGAUUUCAUGAAAGGAGAAGAGAGCACUAUAGGCAGACAUCGCAGUGAAGGUCACUGUCUGUGCAGAUACAGUAAGCAAAGAGAUAUCGAUGUAUUCAAGAAAAAAGGUACACUGACUGCCGGCAGUGUAAAAAGAAGAAAAUGGAAGAAGAUGGCCAAAGUGGCAGCCGACGAAAGAGUAACCAGUGGUGAACCAGAGCUCAACAUCUAUUGGAUAAACUGGAAGGAGAUGUGAGAUCACAUUAAUUCCAUCCUAGUUGUUGGCAUCGAGGGAAUGUUGGACAGCCAUGAUCCCUCCAUCGUUCACCAAAAAUAAAAACAACCACAAACAGCAACCUGACAGACAUCAUCUUGACAUCCUGGACUUCAAGAAAUGGGAGAACUGGCUUUGUCAAGCCCUGGACAACACAGCCAUCAGCCAGACAAGUUGGAUCCUCCAUAUAUCCAAGCAUGCAUUGUGGUAAAUCGACGAAGAUGAAAUGAAGAGGAACCUAGAAAAGUAAUCUUGACAGCAGCAGGACCCAGAUCAAUCAAGGAAGCAACCAACCAUUCAGUGGUAGCGGCCAAAGCCACAGCAUAAGGAGCCAUGGACGGAAACCCUCAUACCAUCUGACCUAUUCACUCAGACAACUCUGUUUGAGUCUGCUGGAUUGACUGAAGAAUCCUUUGAAAGAUUUAAAGACAAUGCAACACGACAGACAGGAUCAAGCAGAACACAGGAGACCAGACCCAGACGAACAAAAGAAACCAGAUCAAGCAGGACACAGCAAAUAGAAGACUUGGUUAUAGGGUUUUGCUUCCUUUAUACAGAUGAAAAAAAACCAACUGGAGCCUACCACCAGUGGUGGGACAGCAUGUGGCAUUGGCUUCUUACAUCUAGACUUACUGGUUUCAUUAUAUUUUUGGUUUGUGGAAACAGACCAGAAUACCCAGACUAAACCCACGCAAAACAUGGGGAAGAUAUACAAACUCCAGGCAAUUAGAGACAUGGUGGGAAUCAAACCCAUGACCUCAGGGGCUGUGAGGCAGUAAUGCUAACCAUUAUAUAAUCUCUAUUGCCCAUACUGAAUAAGAUGUGGAUGAAGGACUUCAAAGAGUAUCUACACCUACGCCCCUUGGUAAAUACAUAUUUUAUUACAAUAAACUUCUAAACUCACUUUUAAAUAAUAGCUUCCAGUGUAAAUAGUUUUUUUAAACACUGGAGGGUUUUUUGGAUUUUUACACCAUUUCAUGUUAACCUUAAUAACUUUGUACAUUUUUCAUCUAAAAAUCUAAAAUUUGUUUCCAAUUUUUUUGCUCUUUGAAUUUUCAGCCUGAAGGAGACCACUUCUUGAUGCAACACUUUUUAGUAAGUGUGGGGGUAUUUUUAGUUUUGUGAAAGAGAGUCACAAACACCAUUACUGUGUUGCCAGCCUAUUGCCAGCCUAGCAGAGUCUGCAUCUUUAACUUUUGUGAAAAUUCUUCCAAAAGGUGUUUUGUUCUGUGAGUCUGUACAGUACACAGUCAAAUUAAGUGAACAUUUUCCACAUCUUUAAGUCACCACAUUGGUAGAAUUCAAUCCUUGGAUGUAUCAGGCUAGCAGUCCAAAUACAAGGUAUCCAAGCUCUCAGAAUCCUCUGGUCACAAUGUAGGAAUAGUUAAGACAGGGUAGAGGUUUCCCCGUGUGGUACACUGUUGAGACAAAACACAAGGGAAAAAAUAUAUUUUGUUAGCAUAUGCAAAGUAGAAGCAGGGUUAUUAGAGGAUAAAAGUGGUGUACAUAACAAUAACUUUAGGGGAGUUGUCAGUACAACGUAUCAUGCAGUCCACGGCAUCAACCAAUAAAGAUGCCAACAUCUUCAACUGUAACUUUAAUAAACUGAAAUAUAUAUUUGAAUUACACCCUUCGAUGUUAUGUGAGCUGCUUGGUACCUUUUCUCAGCAUCACUUUCAGGAUUGGGCAAUUGGAUCAUCACUCAGAACUUGUUGGCAUAACCCACAUCACCUGUGGGGACAAAACAAAUACACAAAUAUUAAUUAAAAUAAAUAUAUACUCACCCAAUAACCAUCAUUCGACAUUUUGCCAGUCUCAAACUCUUGAAUCAGGGACUACUGGCUUACGAUGAAGGAGUUGUGGGCCAACCCAGGAAAAUCCACAAGUAGAUUGGUGAAGUUUUGUUUGGCAUCACAAACCAGUAAUGAAAGUGUUUUUAGUUUUGAAAACAUUCCUCAGAUUACCUUGGUGGAUUGAGUGCCACAUGAGUACCACAAGGGUUAAGUCUAUCGCACCCAGAAUAUUGGGUAACUGAGAAAUUUUAAAAGAAAAACCAAUAAAAAAAAAUUUGGUCUCCAUCCAUUCACUGUCAUUGUCUGGAAAUUUAAUAAACUGGAUCAUUAAUUUGCAGAAAGCCUUAUAGACUUUUGUUAAAGGACAAAAUUGAAAAAGAGGCUUGUGACAUACCGGCUACUAGGGACAAAGUUGGCUGAAAUGUGCCUGACACAAAAUUAUGUGAUGCAGCCAAAAGUUUUGAAAAACCACUGAACACUGCAUGAAUAGUGGGUACCCAAGGUUCAAGGUCUGGAUCAUAACAGAUCAUACAGCAAAUAGAUUGCAGUACUUGAUAACCGAUAAAUUUACACUCCAAGGCCCUCAUUCUGAGUUGUUCGCUCGUUAUUUUCCUUCACAUCUGUGCGAUUUUCUGCUAACUGCGCAUGCGCAAUGUUCGCACUGCGGCUGCGCCAAGUAAAUUUGCUAAGAAGUUAGGUAUUUUACUCACGGCAUUACAAGUUUUUUUCAUCGUUCUGGUGAUCGUAGUGUGAUUGACAGGAAGUGGGUGUUUCUGGGCGGAAACUGGCUGUUUUAUGGGUGUGUGUGAAAAAAAGCUGCCGUUUCUGGGAAAAACGCGGGAGUGGCUGGAGAAACGGGGGAGUGUCUAGGCGAAUGCUGGGUGUGUUUGUGACGUCAAACCAGGAACGACAAGCACUGAACUGAUCGCACUGGAAGAGUAAGUCUCGAGCUACUCAGAAACUGCAAAGAAAAAUCUUUUUGCAAUAUUGCGAAUACUUCGUUCGCAAUUCAGCUAAGCUAAGAUUCACUCCCAGAGGGCGCGGCUUAGCGUGUGCACUGCUGCGAAAAGCGGCUAGCGAGCGAACAACUCGGAAUGAGGGCCCAAAUACAAUACUAACAUGUAUGUGGAAUUCAAACACGCACUGACUUGCCUGAGCACGUUCUUCCUCAUCCAUGUCCUGCACCUCCACACUUGCCUGGAUCAUGAAUAUCCAAAUGGUGUCAGAGAAAGGCAUUGUAUAGCAGUUGACUUAAUAAAAGCUUAUUCUCCCUGAAGUCUUCAGACAGGAGUGACAGCAUACUGCAAGCAGGAGGAAAUGCAUCAUGGGAAUAAAGCAUAAACUGGUGUGAGCAAAAAAAGCCAUGUAAAAAGACAAAAGAAAAUUGCUAUCAGAAUGAAAAUAAACAUUCUUACAACAGAUUCCACAAAUUUAAUUUUAAUUUUCAGGUCCUCCAAGAAGUGGAAAAAAAUAAUGUGUUAAAAUCAACUAAAAAUACCUGUUAACUUAAAGCCUGCGUCUAACUGAAUAGCUUAUUAAAGAAAAGUCAGAUUUUACCUAUAGAGAAAAUUUUACACACAAAAAUUACAUCCGUUAAAAAGUUAUCACACAUUUUAAAUGAAAAAAGGAAAUUGGCAAAUCUGAAAAAAUUUCUAGUGUAAAAUUAUACUUGUAAAAGCAGAAAAAUUGGUGUGAAGUAAUUUUCGGACCUGACAACAACUGAUAUUUUUCACAGUAUAAAUAUCACAUAACCUGACACUUUAACAAAUAUUUGUUUUCCAUUAUAGAUGAUACAUUUUAGAUUUUAAUAUCUCUGCAUAAGGUUAUUUAAAGAGUACAACAGUUGUCAAGGAACUUCUUUAAGUUCCUUACACAUUAAUACAAUUUCUUAAUAUUGUAUUUUACACUGAUUUAUUUGGGAACUUAGCCCAUACAGUAUCUAUAAAUGUAGAAAUAGGCCACCUCCAAAAUAUAGUUACUUUUUCUGCACACUUUAGAAGAGUUUUUGUUUUAAUAUAAAGUAAAUUUGUUAUUUCUAUUCAUGUAAUAUUAUUAUGUUGGCAUAGUUAAUAUUCACUUUUUAAACUAUUUAAAAUACUUUCCAAAAUGUAUUAAAACAAUGGAGUUAAAGAACACGAAGGCAACAAGCUCUGAUCUUUUGUUUCUGGAGUCUUCAACUGCAGUACAUUUAAGUUAAAAAGGAAAUAAUUAGACUUUAUUUUCUUAAUUCCCAGUAGACAACACAGUUCUGCUUUUUAUGAGAACUAUUGAGCAGCGGGCAGGGAUAAAUGUGCACAGAAACUGAAUCACAUAUAUUUCCUAGGAUGCUACAUCUUAAACCUAGAUUUAAAAAAAGAACUACUGUAGCUUGCAAAAAAAGAAUUUAUAGCUGAUUAUUCAUUAAAAUCAAUGAAAAUAUCUGUAUUAUCUUUAAAAAUGUUUCAAUUAAAGUAUGAUUGCUUAGAUAUUUUUGCAAACAUUUGUGUUAAAAGGGUUAUCUCAUUUUAUGGUAAGUUAUACCUCAUGUAAAUGUACAAAUAAAAAAAAAUCAUGGCUAUAUUCUCAUGUACAACAUAAAUACAAAUAUUUGUCCUCACUUAGCUAUCCUGUUAGCCAGAAAUACAGGGAUAAAUGUAAUAGGGUGCAAGGUUUUGUGCGGGACAAACUCACACUUUCUCACACAUUUUGAAGUGCAACAUUGCCCUGCAAAUGCCUUUAUACACAGACACAUGCACAGAUCUCGCUUAUCUGUUCAUGCUUUUGUCAAACUCACCUACAGUAUCUGAACAAGGCGGGUCAUUCCGAGUUGAUCGUAGCUGUGCUAAAUUUAGCACAGCUAUGAUCAUUCACACUGACAUGCGGGGGACACCCUGCAUAGGGCUAGCCCGCCCCACAUGUCAGUGCUGACCCCCCCCCCCCCCCGCCCCGCAGAAGUGCAAAGGCAUCGCGAUGCUUUUUGCGUUUCAAGAGUACUCCCCACUCCCCACGUCACACAGCCGCUGCGGCCCUCACCUCAUUCGGUCCGGCCACGCCUGCGUUGGCCGGACCGCACCUAUGAAACGGCGGCCAAACGCAGCUGUUUCGCCCCUUCCGCCCAGCGACCGCCUCUGACUGUCAAUCAGGCAGAGGCGAUCACAGCCCUGCCACUGCCUUAGGCCAUCUGGCAUGCGCAUGCGCAGUAGAGACCCAUUCGCUCGGCUGUGAUAAACAGCAGCAAGCGAACCGGUCAGAAUGACGCCCAUGGUCCUUUUUUUGGCGAGUUUUGGUAAGGUUUUGGGUGUGAGUUCUAAAUUUGCAUUCUGUUACAUUGGGCAAGUUGUAUGUUUUCCAUUGGAUGCAAGUUAGGCCAUUGCGAGUUGCAGGAGUGUGAGAAACAUGCAAGAUUGCAUUCUCUCUCACCCUAUUACAUUUACCAAACAUGCACCUUAUUACAUUUAGCCCACAGUCUUAAAUAAAAUGAGUCCCGUUCUCAAUCGGUGUAAGCAAUGUCAUAUGUGGCACAAGUCUCUGAAUAAUAAAGGGAGAACCGACGAAACAGGAUAGUGAAGUGAAGUGCAGUACGUCCAAUCAGGGGUGUAUCUUCCUUUUGGCCAGGAUGGCACUUGCCAGGGGCACUGGUCAAGGAGGGGAUGCUUCCCGGCAGUACCACCCGGGCCAAGGGGUAGAAUGACAUAGUAGUUCUUACUACAUCCCUUAGCAGUGCUCAUCCACUGCCGGACUCUCAGAAGCGUAUUGCGCUCUGACACUCAAUGAUGGUGAAUAUAGCCGGGGAGCGGGACACUUCCAAGUAUGGGGAGGGGCGAGGCACUUCCUCUUCCUCAUCAGCUUUCCUUCUCAUUGGUCCCACGCGGUCUGUCACCAAACACCAGCCCCUACAAUCAGCACCAGUCAGCAGUGCAGCAUGAGCAUACCUGUACAUUUUCUGCGGUACCGUGGCUGCACUGCAUGGUCUAUCCUGGCACUCUGGAUCACAGCUUACAAAGAGCUCUGUAUGGAGAGGUAUCUAGACCAAUGACUGCCUGUCCAGCUGUGUUGAUACUACAAGUCCCAGCACACCUUGUCAACUGGAUUUGCUUAGACAUGUAGUGUCAUCACACCUAGAGAAGGUUUUUUAACUGUAUGUAUGUGUGCAUACAGUAUAUCCCCUCGGUGUUCCUGUCCGCACCCUCCUUGUAAUUACCCCUCAGUGUUCCUGCCCGCACCAUCCCUUAACUGCCCCCUCAGUGACCCUGCCCAUACACUCCUGUAUUUUCCUCUGUGUCCCUGCAUGCACCCUUCCCAUAAUUCCCCCUCAGUGUCCCUGCCCACACCCUUCCCAUAGUUCCCCCUCAGUAUCCCUGGCCGCACCCUCCCCAUAAUUCCCUCUCAGUGUCCCUGACCUCAGCCUAUCUGUAACCCCCCCUCUGUGUCCAUGGGUGGGGGAGGUGGGGGGCACCACUUUCUUACUUUGCCAGGGGCACUCAGACCCCUAGAUACACCCCUGCGUCCAAUAAGCGAUAUUAUUCACUUUACUGUACGUGGUAUUCAAAAUACAUAUAUUAAAACAAUAUAAACAAGAGUAUAGAAAAUGCAUUCAGAGUUUAUGUAAUGGUUACACAGCUUCUUCACUCCAAUUGUCACUCCUGGAAUUAAGUUUAUAUCUCUUUCUGGCAAUCUUCAGCUGUGCAUAUAUACCUCCUCAAUCAUGCCCAAUGCAUUUUAUCUUUACUGACUUCAACAAGGGCUGGUGUUAAUGUGGUAUGUGCAGCACUGUUUCAGUAUCCGGACUCACCCAAAUGUUUUUCUAUACAUUACAUAAAGAAAAAGUUGACCUAUUUAACUCUUAUGUUUUGACAUUAAACACUUUCAGUUAUUUUAAUGUUCCUAAAAAUGUUUAUUCAAAACAAUAAAACCAAUUUUGUUUAUCA